Molecule: long non-coding RNA, 1919 nt
Organism: Mytilus californianus (California mussel)
Lineage: Eukaryota; Metazoa; Mollusca; Bivalvia; Mytilida; Mytilidae
Exons: 3
Source: RefSeq, a predicted model, not a curated record
GGUUUUUUUUAUAUGUUUGUUCCACUGUAUCUUGAAUGAGCAGGUCAGGCUGGGCUACCGUCAUUAUCAGAGACGACGACACGCCCAUCGUAUGGAUUCAAAACUACCCACCGAGUCUUCUAAUGCUGACAAUUCAAGAACACAGCGCAUCAACGACAAUAUCCGUGCAGAGAAGAAAUAAAUGAGAGCGAAAAAAAAUUCAUAUCACAUCAAUCAUAUGCAGUUUAAUAUUGUUUUUUUUUUUUAUUAUUUUACGUAUACUUAUUAUGUUAUGUGCUCGAUUGUAAAUGAAUGUCUUACCGAAUUACAAAUUGGACUUAUAAAUGAAGCCUAUCAGAAAUAGUGUCUAGAUUAAGCAUUUUACAAUAUUUGUUUGUUAUUUCUACUCAUACUUAUAUACUUUGACUAAAAUUAUACUGCUCAUUGCAAUCAGAUUAAUGGGGAUACAAAUACAAACACAACAUUAUUAUUAUCAUUAUUUAUACAUAUAUCAUACAAUGAUUGUUCAAUAAUAAAGAGAGAGAGUCAGUCCAUCAAGUUAACAAAGGAGGAUAAUACCAGGUUCACAUCCAAUAUUCACAAACUUAUGGUAAAUAUUGUUCACCGUCAAGAUAGAACGUUCGUUCUCAUAUCUGUUGUCUUUUCUUAUUUGAAUAAAGAAUACAGAUAAUCACUCAAUUCAAAUAUACAUCAUUAUUAAACUUCACGUAAAAAUGCAAUAUUCUGAUUGGCUUAUACGAGGGUGUUAAUUUACUCUAUUCUAUUGUAAAUACUCUAUUACCCUCUACGGAGACGCUUGAUCAAGUGUGCGCUUUAUUAAAUACGACUCUAUCCUAUGGCAAAUACUCUAUUACCCUUCACGAACACGCUUGAUCAAGUGUGCGCAUUAUUAAAUACGGAUGGUUGUUAUGUACAAGACGUCAUAGUUUAUAACUUUGAAUUUGAAAUUUAAUCGACAGUUAAAACAGAACUUUCAGUAUAAUAAAUUAAAUAACACAUAUCUGAGAGGGUGAUAGAGCAGAUUGUUACCCCUCGAAAAGACAUUGUCAACCUUGGCUUCGCCUCAGUUGACAAUGUUUUCUUAUGUGUGUUAUUUAUAUAAUGUCACCAUUUGACAUUAUCAGUAGAACAUCUUCAUGUAGUUAUCUUUAGUUUUGGAACUUAUCAAAUAUUUCAUAAAGAUAUCGUUUUCUAAUAUUAUCAUAUAGAGGGCAUAUAAAAAAGAAUUAAACUUGAUCUUCAAAUGUGUUAAGACAGCAAAACUUUUUUGAAAAUCUUUUAUCUUGAUGAGGUAAUGAAACCAACAUUUGUUUUACUAUCAACGACUCUUUAAAUCUACACAAAGUGAAUAUGUUUUUGUUGGUUUGUGAUAUUAACAUAACUUUUAAAUUAAAAGUUGAAUUUUGAAAUUAAAAUAAGGUUUUCCAUUUGCUGUGUUCAUUAUGUGAAAUGACACAGCUAAUGCUUGGUCAUUGCCUUAUAAAAAGAAGUUUGAGGCAUUCUUUAGUAACCUAUUAUUUAUUUUCACUAUAUAUUUGGCAAACAGAGAGAUCGACAUUUAAUUUCUCGCUUACGAAUUUAAUAGAUUGGUCGCUGAUCAAAUCUCCUUUUGUGAUUAGUGGUAUAGGUGACAAAACAGGAGAAAUAAAAUUAUCAGGUUUUAAUCAAAUGUAAUAAUGUAUAAAAAAGAUCAAAACAUAGAAUUUCAGAUUAAAUCUAAAUGAAUUUUGAAAAACUGAAAUAUAUCAGUUAUAAUGUUAUUGGUUUGCUUUGUUUUUUAAUCAUUAUAAUUUACUUAAGACUAUUUUCUGUUAACUAUUUUACUUUAUUAUGAAUAUAAUCAAGCAGUUACUCUUAUGAAUCAUGUGUGUAAUGAGAUUCUUUUAAUUUCACUUAAUAAAGUUCACUAUUUUCUUUGA